This 492-nucleotide ribosomal RNA is filed under the name uncultured bacterium. Its description in RNAcentral is "partial 16S ribosomal RNA". It matches the Rfam family "Bacterial small subunit ribosomal RNA", at positions 29 to 507 of the family's 1533-position model. The record is from RNAcentral.
AGUGAACGCUGGCGGUAGGCCUAACACAUGCAAGUCGAACGGCAGCACAGUAAGAGCUUGCUCUUACGGGUGGCGAGUGGCGGACGGGUGAGGAAUACAUCGGAAUCUACUUUUUCGUGGGGGAUAACGUAGGGAAACUUACGCUAAUACCGCAUACGACCUACGGGUGAAAGCAGGGGAUCUUCGGACCUUGCGCGAUUGAAUGAGCCGAUGUCGGAUUAGCUAGUUGGCGGGGUAAAGGCCCACCAAGGCGACGAUCCGUAGCUGGUCUGAGAGGAUGAUCAGCCACACUGGAACUGCGACACGGCCCAGACUCCUACGGGAGGCAGCAGUGGGGAAUAUUGGACAAUGGGGGCAAGCCUGAUCCAGCCAUACCGCGUGGGUGAAGAAGGCCUUCGGGUUGUAAAGACCUUUUGUUGGGAAAGAAAAGCAGCAGGUUAAUACCCCGCUGUUCUGACGGUACCCAAAGAAUAAGCACCGGCUAACUUCGUG